This 590-nucleotide ribosomal RNA is filed under the name uncultured Alphaproteobacteria bacterium. RNAcentral describes it as "bacterial SSU rRNA". It matches the Rfam family "Bacterial small subunit ribosomal RNA", at positions 72 to 703 of the family's 1533-position model. Lineage: Bacteria; Pseudomonadati; Pseudomonadota; Alphaproteobacteria. The record is from RNAcentral.
GAAGUAGCAAUACUUAGUGGCAGACGGGUGAGUAACAUGUAGGUAUCUACCCUAUGGCCUGGAAUAACACGAGGAAACUUGUGCUAAUACUGGAUAAGUCUUUACGGAGAAAGCUUUAUGCACCAUUGGAUGAGCCUGCACUUGAUUAGUUUGUUGGUAGGGUAAUGGCCUACCAAGACUGUGAUCAAUAGCUGAUUUGAGAGGAUGAUCAGCCACAUUGGGACUGAGACACGGCCCAAACUCCUACGGGAGGCAGCAGUGGGGAAUCUUGCACAAUGGAGGAAACUCUGAUGCAGCGAUGCCGCGUGAGUGAAGAAGGCCCUUGGGUUGUAAAGCUCUUUCGUCGGGGAAGAAAAUGACUGUACCCGAAUAAGAAGGUCCGGCUAACUUCGUGCCAGCAGCCGCGGUAAUACGAAGGGACCUAGCGUAGUUCGGAAUUACUGGGCUUAAAGAGUUCGUAGGUGGUUGAAAAAGUUGGUGGUGAAAUCCCAGAGCUUAACUCUGGAACUGCCAUCAAAACUUUUCAGCUAGAGUUUGAUAGAGGAAAGCAGAAUUUCUAGUGUAGAGGUGAAAUUCGUAGAUAUUAGAAA